CAGCCGCCGCGAUAAUACCGGCGGCCCGAGUGGCGGCUACUAUUAUUGGGCCUAAAGCGUCCGUAGCCGGGCUGGUAAGUCCUCCGGGAAAUCUGGCCGCUUAACGGUCAGAAUGCCGGAGGAUACUCCCAGCCUAGGGAGCGGGAGAGGCCGAGGGGAUUCCCGGGGUAGGGGGGGAAUCCUAUAAUCCCGGGAGGACCACCUGUGGCGAAGGCGCUCGGCUGGAACGCGUCCGACGGUGAGGGACGAAGGCCAGGGGAGCAAACCGGAUUAGAUACCCGGGUAGUCCUGGCUGUAAACGAUGCGGACUUUGUGUCGGACAAGCUAUGAGCUUGUCCGGUGCCGGAGGGAAACCGUUAAGUCCGCCGCCUGGGGAGUACGGCCGCAAGGCUGAAACUUAAAGGAAUUGGCGGG
Molecule: ribosomal RNA, 414 nt
Filed under: uncultured microorganism
Description: bacterial SSU rRNA
Rfam family: Archaeal small subunit ribosomal RNA
Source: RNAcentral